CCCUUAGAUGUUCUGGGCCGCACGCGCGCUACAAUGAUGAAUUCAACGAGUUUAUAACCUUGGUUGAAAAGCCUGGGUAAUCUUUUGAACUUUCGUCGUGAUGGGGCUAGACCCUUGCAAUUAUUGGUCUCCAACGAGGAAUUCCUAGUAAACGCAAGUCAUCAGCUUGCAUUGAUUACGUCCCUGCCCUUUGUACACACCGCCCGUCGCACCUACCGAUUGAAUGGUCCGGUGAAAUCUUCGGAUUGAGGCUUUGUUUUCUUCACGGAAAACGCUGUUUUAAAAAGUUGAUUAAACCUUACCAUUUAGAGGAAGGUGAAGUCGUAACA
Molecule: ribosomal RNA, 329 nt
Filed under: uncultured eukaryote
Lineage: Eukaryota
Description: partial 18S ribosomal RNA
Rfam family: Eukaryotic small subunit ribosomal RNA
Source: RNAcentral